RNAcentral lists this ribosomal RNA (498 nucleotides) under Pseudomonas marginalis. RNAcentral's name for it is "bacterial SSU rRNA". It matches the Rfam family "Bacterial small subunit ribosomal RNA", at positions 33 to 527 of the family's 1533-position model. Lineage: Bacteria; Pseudomonadati; Pseudomonadota; Gammaproteobacteria; Pseudomonadales; Pseudomonadaceae. The record is from RNAcentral.
ACGCUGGCGGCAGGCCUAACACAUGCAAGUCGAGCGGUAGAGAGAAGCUUGCUUCUCUUGAGAGCGGCGGACGGGUGAGUAAUGCCUAGGAAUCUGCCUGGUAGUGGGGGAUAACGUUCGGAAACGGACGCUAAUACCGCAUACGUCCUACGGGAGAAAGCAGGGGACCUUCGGGCCUUGCGCUAUCAGAUGAGCCUAGGUCGGAUUAGCUAGUUGGUGAGGUAAUGGCUCACCAAGGCGACGAUCCGUAACUGGUCUGAGAGGAUGAUCAGUCACACUGGAACUGAGACACGGUCCAGACUCCUACGGGAGGCAGCAGUGGGGAAUAUUGGACAAUGGGCGAAAGCCUGAUCCAGCCAUGCCGCGUGUGUGAAGAAGGUCUUCGGAUUGUAAAGCACUUUAAGUUGGGAGGAAGGGCCAUUACCUAAUACGUGAUGGUUUUGACGUUACCGACAGAAUAAGCACCGGCUAACUCUGUGCCAGCCGCCGGGUAAUACA